AACGCACAUUGCGCCCGCUAGUAUUCUGGCGGGCAUGCCUGUUCGAGCGUCAUUUCAACCAUCAAGCGCCUGCGCUUGUGUUGGAGCCCUGCGGCUGCCGCAGGCUCCCAAACCCAGUGGCGGGCUCGUCGUCGUACCGAGUGCAGUAAACUUACCACGCUCAGGGCACGCGACGGGUGACCGGCCGUAAAACCCCCCCCCUUCUCAAGGUUGACCUCGGAUCAGGUAGGAAUACCCGCUGAACUUAA
This 248-nucleotide unclassified non-coding RNA is filed under the name uncultured Lasiosphaeriaceae. RNAcentral describes it as "sequence contains ITS2". The record is from RNAcentral. Lineage: Eukaryota; Fungi; Ascomycota; Sordariomycetes; Sordariales; Lasiosphaeriaceae.